This 402-nucleotide ribosomal RNA is filed under the name bacterium. RNAcentral's name for it is "partial 16S ribosomal RNA". It matches the Rfam family "Bacterial small subunit ribosomal RNA", at positions 355 to 776 of the family's 1533-position model. The record is from RNAcentral.
UGGGGAAUUUUGCACAAUGGGGGAAACCCUGAUGCAGCGACGCCGCGUGAUUUAGAAGGCCUUCGGGUUGUAGAAAUCUUUUCUAUGGGAAGAAAAUGACAGUACCAUAGGAAUAAGGACCGGCUAAUUACGUGCCAGCAGCCGCGGUAAUACGUAAGGUCCGAGCGUUGUCCGGAAUCAUUGGGCGUAAAGGGUACGUAGGCGGGUAAGCAAGUUAGAAGUGAAAUCCUAUAGCUCAACUAUAGUAAGCUUUUAAAACUGCUCAUCUUGAGGUAUGGAAGGGAAAGUGGAAUUCCUAGUGUAGCGGUGAAAUGCGCAGAUAUUAGGAGGAAUACCGGUGGCGAAGGCGACUUUCUGGCCAUAACCUGACGCUGAGGUACGAAAGCGUGGGUAGCAAACAGG